This 27-nucleotide non-coding RNA is filed under the name Rattus norvegicus (Norway rat). The record is from RNAcentral. Lineage: Eukaryota; Metazoa; Chordata; Mammalia; Rodentia; Muridae.
UGAGACCACUCUUAGUUGGAUGGUACG